ACCAGACUCCUACGGGAGGCAGCAGUGAGGAAUAUUGGUCAAUGGGCUUACGCCUGAACCAGCCAAGUCGCGUGAGGGAUGACGGUCCUAUGGAUUGUAAACCUCUUUUGUCAGGGAGCAAAGGGCGCCACGUGUGGCGUUUUGCGAGUACCUGAAGAAAAAGCAUCGGCUAACUCCGUGCCAGCAGCCGCGGUAAUACGGAGGAUGCGAGCGUUAUCCGGAUUUAUUGGGUUUAAAGGGUGCGUAGGCGGCGUGUCAAGUCCGCGGUAAAAUUUCGGGGCUCAACCCCGUCGUGCCGUUGAAACUGACGCCCUUGAGUGAGUGAGAAGUAAGCGGAAUGCGUGGUGUAGCGGUGAAAUGCAUAGAUAUCACGCAGAACUCCGAUUGCGAAGGCAGCAUACCGGCGCGCAACUGACGCUCAUGCACGAAAGCGUGGGUAUCGAACAGGAUUAGAUACCCCGGUAA
Molecule: ribosomal RNA, 465 nt
Filed under: uncultured bacterium
Lineage: Bacteria
Description: bacterial SSU rRNA
Rfam family: Bacterial small subunit ribosomal RNA
Source: RNAcentral